AAAAGCCCCUUCAGGGGAGUGUCAAUAAUGUCAAUGAAUCAAUUAAUCAACAAUGAACAACAAUGUAUAUUGGCACCACCUGUUAUCCUGACAACUUCUAUGCAUCUACCAUGUUCUUGCAUGCCUGCUAAAGUUUAAUAUGAACUAUCAAGAAGAUUUGGAACCCGAAAUGUUUUAACAAGAACACAGAGAUGGAUUUACUGGGGGGAUGGGGUGUGCACCCCCUAGCCCUGGCCAGAGGGGGUGCAGGAGGGGGUCCUAUUUUUCAUGAUAAACAAAAAAUUAUUAGAAACAAAAUGAGAUACAGAAAUUUGAGUAAUAAUAUGAU
Paramuricea clavata is the source of this 328-nucleotide non-coding RNA. The record is from the annotation of a GenBank genome assembly. Lineage: Eukaryota; Metazoa; Cnidaria; Anthozoa; Malacalcyonacea; Plexauridae.